GAUGAUGGUCGGACAAGGGGGAAGCUGUCUUUUUUACAAUUUUUGAAUUUUACUUUUAAGUGAAAAGGCUUAAAUGGGUUGGGGGGACGAUAAAACCCUAUAAAAUUUUACAGAGUCGGGAUCUUUUUUUAAAUUAGUGUUUAAAUUCUAUAGGUUCUUGUUUGUUUUGUUGGGGCGACAAAGAUAAAAUUUAAUAAGUGUCUUUUAAUUA
This 211-nucleotide ribosomal RNA is filed under the name Pandalus nipponensis. Its description in RNAcentral is "partial 16S ribosomal RNA". Lineage: Eukaryota; Metazoa; Arthropoda; Malacostraca; Decapoda; Pandalidae. The record is from RNAcentral.